GACGAACGCUUUCGGCGUGCUUAACACAUGCAAGUCGAACGGAAAGGCCCUGCUUUUGUGGGGUGCUCGAGUGGCGAACGGGUGAGUAACACGUGAGUAACCUGCCCUUGACUUUGGGAUAACUUCAGGAAACUGGGGCUAAUACCGGAUAGGAGCUCCUGCUGCAUGGUGGGGGUUGGAAAGUUUCGGCGGUUGGGGAUGGACUCGCGGCUUAUCAGCUUGUUGGUGGGGUAGUGGCUUACCAAGGCUUUGACGGGUAGCCGGCCUGAGAGGGUGACCGGCCACAUUGGGACUGAGAUACGGCCCAGACUCCUACGGGAGGCAGCAGUGGGGAAUAUUGCACAAUGGGCGGAAGCCUGAUGCAGCAACGCCGCGUGCGGGAUGACGGCCUUCGGGUUGUAAACCGCUUUCGCCUGUGACGAAGCGUGAGUGACGGUAAUGGGUAAAGAAGCACCGGCUAACUACGUGCCAGCAGCCGCGGUGAUACGUAGGGUGCGAGCGUUGUCCGGAUUUAUUGGGCGUAAAGGGCUCGUGGGUGGUUGAUCGCGUCGGAAGUGUAAUCUUGGGGCUUAACCCUGAGCGUGCUUUCGAUACGGGUUGACUUGAGGAAGGUAGGGGAGAAUGGAAUUCCUGGUGGAGCGGUGGAAUGCGCAGAUAUCAGGAGGAACACCAGUGGCGAAGGCGGUUCUCUGGGCCUUUCCUGACGCUGAGGAGCGAAAGCGUGGGGAGCGAACAGGCUUAGAUACCCUGGUAGUCCACGCUGUAAACGGUGGGUACUAGGUGUGGGGUCCAUUCCACGGGUUCCGUGCCGUAGCUAACGCUUUAAGUACCCCGCCUGGGGAGUACGGCCGCAAGGCUAAAACUCAAAGGAAUUGACGGGGCCCCGCACAAGCGGCGGAGCAUGCGGAUUAAUUCGAUGCAACGCGUAGAACCUUACCUGGGUUUGACAUGGAUCGGGAGUGCUCAGAGAUGGGUGUGCCUCUUUUGGGGUCGGUUCACAGGUGGUGCAUGCCUGUCGUCAGCUCGUGUCGUGAGAUGUUGGGUUAAGUCCCGCAACGAGCGCAACCCUUGUUCACUGUUGCCAGCACGUUAUGGUGGGGACUCAGUGGAGACCGCCGGGGUCAACUCGGAGGAAGGUGGGGAUGACGUCAAGUCAUCAUGCCCCUUAUGUCCAGGGCUUCACGCAUGCUACAAUGGCUGGUACAGAGAGUGGCGAGCCUGUGAGGGUGAGCGAAUCUCGGAAAGCCGGUCUCAGUUCGGAUUGGGGUCUGCAACUCGACCUCAUGAAGUCGGAGUCGCUAGUAAUCGCAGAUCAGCAACGCUGCGGUGAAUACGUUCCCGGGGCU
Molecule: ribosomal RNA, 1346 nt
Filed under: uncultured bacterium
Lineage: Bacteria
Description: partial 16S ribosomal RNA
Rfam family: Bacterial small subunit ribosomal RNA
Source: RNAcentral